RNAcentral lists this ribosomal RNA (429 nucleotides) under Gemmatimonadota bacterium. RNAcentral describes it as "Gemmatimonadetes bacterium partial 16S ribosomal RNA". It matches the Rfam family "Bacterial small subunit ribosomal RNA", at positions 355 to 776 of the family's 1533-position model. The record is from RNAcentral. Lineage: Bacteria; Pseudomonadati; Gemmatimonadota.
UAGGGAAUCUUCGGCAAUGGACGAAAGUCUGACCGAGCAACGCCGCGUGAGUGAAGAAGGUUUUCGGAUCGUAAAACUCUGUUGUUAGAGAAGAACAAGGACGUUAGUAACUGAACGUCCCCUGACGGUAUCUAACCAGAAAGCCACGGCUAACUACCUGCCAGCAGCCGCGGUAAUACGUAGGUGGCAAGCGUUGUCCGGAUUUAUUGGGCGUAAAGCGAGCGCAGGCGGUUUCUUAAGUCUGAUGUGAAAGCCCCCGGCUCAACCGGGGAGGGUAAUUGGAAACUGGGGGACUUGAGUGCGGAAGAGGAGAGUGGAAUUCCAUGUGUAGCGGUGAAAUGCGUGGGUAUAUGGGGGAACACCGGGGGCGAAGGCGGCUCCCUGGUCUAUAACUGACGCUGAGGCUCGAAAGCGUGGGGAGCAAACAGG